This 834-nucleotide long non-coding RNA is filed under the name Parus major (Great Tit). RNAcentral describes it as "lncRNA (ENSPMJG00000008672.1)". The record is from RNAcentral. Lineage: Eukaryota; Metazoa; Chordata; Aves; Passeriformes; Paridae.
AUGCUUGGUCCUCGUGGGUCUGGAGCAGAUGCUGGCUCUGGAGAGAGAGGAGCAGUGCCUGGUGCAGAGCACAGCCUCAGCCCCAGGCUCCUGGAGGAUUUCAGUGUCCACACCCUCUAUGACAAGCUGGAGGAUCAGAAUUUGCACCUGGCCUCUCAGCUGGCAAAGCACAGGAUGGACGUGCUGGUGUUCCACAACGGGAUCAGCCACAGGAUCCAGAGCCUGGUGGACACGGUGCAAGCUCUGGACUGGGAAGGCCUGAAAACCUUUUCCAGGCGAGGGAUUUGUGGGCAGAAAGCUGCAGAGCAGAGCUGGGCAGCAGUGGGUGCAGAUCACUGGAACAACAACUUCCAGGCAGGUGCCCCGUGGCAAGAGGUGACAGAGUUAAUGAGAGCUCUGGAAGUGCUGCUUGGGAACGUUCCUGACGGGAGCAGGGCUGCAAACCCAGAGAUGGAGCUCAGGAUCCAAGCACAGGCUGCACUGGGAGCUGUGCCCUCCCUGCACAGCCUGGCCAGUGAAAAUAAAUCCGAAGGGCAGGAUCCUGAGCUGUUGAGCAGGAAAGAUCCUUUUUCCAGCCUGCCUGGGCAUGAAGAGCACGGUUUAGCUCUCCAGUUGGUUUAUCUGACUGAGCUGGAGGUCGAGGGUCUGGUGGCAGCUUCCCCCCUUGCCAAGACCCUGUGUGAGAUCAAGGAAGCUUUGGUCAAUCUGCAGCAACCCUCAACCCUUGGUAAUUCAGACAGCAAACAUCAAUCCAGCCUGGGGAGCUCAGGAUUCUGACUGCUGGAUUCCUGGGAUGAAGCCCUGCAGCUGGAAUAAAGAGGAGCUGCAUUCUCA